Molecule: ribosomal RNA, 2113 nt
Filed under: uncultured Synechococcus sp.
Lineage: Bacteria; Bacillati; Cyanobacteriota; Cyanophyceae; Synechococcales; Synechococcaceae
Description: bacterial SSU rRNA
Rfam family: Bacterial small subunit ribosomal RNA (bases 1-1324)
Source: RNAcentral
GCCGAGAGGUGAAACGAAUUUCGCCUGAGGAUGAGCUCGCGUCUGAUUAGCUAGUUGGUGGGGUAAGAGCCUACCAAGGCAUCGAUCAGUAGCUGGUCUGAGAGGAUGAUCAGCCACACUGGGACUGAGACACGGCCCAGACUCCUACGGGAGGCAGCAGUGGGGAAUUUUCCGCAAUGGGCGAAAGCCUGACGGAGCAACGCCGCGUGAGGGAUGAAGGCCUCUGGGCUGUAAACCUCUUUUAUCAAGGAAGAAGAUCUGACGGUACUUGAUGAAUAAGCCACGGCUAAUUCCGUGCCAGCAGCCGCGGUAAUACGGGAGUGGCAAGCGUUAUCCGGAAUUAUUGGGCGUAAAGCGUCCGCAGGCGGCCUGAUAAGUCUGUUGUCAAAGCGUGGAGCUCAACUCCAUUUCGGCNAAUGGAAACUGUGAGGCUUGAGUGUGGUAGGGGCAGAGGGAAUUCCCGGUGUAGCGGUGAAAUGCGUAGAUAUCGGGAAGAACACCAGUGGCGAAGGCGCUCUGCUGGGCCAUAACUGACGCUCAUGGACGAAAGCCAGGGGAGCGAAAGGGAUUAGAUACCCCUGUAGUCCUGGCCGUAAACGAUGAACACUAGGUGUCGGGGGAAUCGACCCCCUCGGUGUCGUAGCCAACGCGUUAAGUGUUCCGCCUGGGGAGUACGCACGCAAGUGUGAAACUCAAAGGAAUUGACGGGGGCCCGCACAAGCGGUGGAGUAUGUGGUUUAAUUCGAUGCAACGCGAAGAACCUUACCAGGGUUUGACAUCCUGCGAAUCCCUUGGAAACUUGGGAGUGCCUUCGGGAGCGCAGAGACAGGUGGUGCAUGGCUGUCGUCAGCUCGUGUCGUGAGAUGUUGGGUUAAGUCCCGCAACGAGCGCAACCCACGUCUUUAGUUGCCAGCAUUCAGUUGGGCACUCUAGAGAGACCGCCGGUGAUAAACCGGAGGAAGGUGUGGAUGACGUCAAGUCAUCAUGCCCCUUACAUCCUGGGCUACACACGUACUACAAUGCUACGGACAAAGGGCAGCAAACUCGCGAGAGCUAGUAAAUCCCAUAAACCGUGGCUCAGUUCAGAUCGUAGGCUGCAACUCGCCUACGUGAAGGAGGAAUCGCUAGUAAUCGCAGGUCAGCAUACUGCGGUGAAUACGUUCCCGGGCCUUGUACACACCGCCCGUCACACCAUGGAAGUUGGCCACGCCCGAAGCCGUUACUCCAACCCUUGUGGAGGAGGACGUCGAAGGUGGGGCUGAUGACUGGGGUGAAGUCGUAACAAGGUAGCCGUACCGGAAGGUGCGGCUGGAUCACCUCCUAACAGGGAGACAAACCUAAUUGUGAUGUCUGAGUAAUUAUAAUCUCAGGCCACGAUUCUGUCACCUUAGGUCGAUCGGUACCUCAAGGAGCGAAUGAGAGAGUCUGAGUAAUCAGAGGAGACUUGAUUUGCUUUUUCAGUUUCUAAACGUUGUCUAGGUCACCCCGACGCUCCUGGGCCAUUAGCUCAGGUGGUUAGAGCGCACCCCUGAUAAGGGUGAGGUCCCUGGUUCAAGUCCAGGAUGGCCCAUUCAUCGCCUGCUCAGCAGGCAGGACCUGCUGGCUGGGGGUUUAGCUCAGUUGGUAGAGCGCCUGCUUUGCAAGCAGGAUGUCAGCGGUUCGAGUCCGCUAACCUCCAUAUCAACGAAAAGCCCCACACGCGCAGGCAAGUGAGGAGAGAGGGAGUGACCAAGACGGGGACCAAGAAGGGAAAGAGAAGAGCUGAGAAUGACUCCAGCCUUCAGGAUUGAUGGAGCCGAUUAAAGGAACCAUGAAUUUUGAAUGCUGGACUCACACCCCAUUAUGGCUGUUGAGAUAGCUACGGCUGUUUUGACAGUACUAGCUGUCGUGAGAGAGCGAUGAAGGGGUGAGAUGUUCAGCAAGGAACCUUGACAACUGCAUAGGUGAGUCUGGAAAGAAAGCAUCUCAUGGAUGCCAGUUUUUCAGCGUUGAUCAGUCUGGGAAACCAGAGUGAUGGCGUUUGAGGAUUGGAGAUUCUAUGACGUUAAGAGCCGAGACUUUCCAGUGUUCUUCCAAGGGAUGGCAAAUCCAGCCAGACUGCGGGAGUUUGAUU